RNAcentral lists this ribosomal RNA (253 nucleotides) under uncultured bacterium. Its description in RNAcentral is "partial 16S ribosomal RNA". It matches the Rfam family "Bacterial small subunit ribosomal RNA", at positions 524 to 776 of the family's 1533-position model. The record is from RNAcentral.
UACAGAGGUCUCAAGCGUUGUUCGGAUUCAUUGGGCGUAAAGGGUGCGUAGGUGGCGCUGUAAGUCGGGUGUGAAAUUUCGGAGCUUAACUCCGAAACUGCAUUCGAUACUGCGGUGCUUGAGGACUGGAGAGGAGACUGGAAUUCAUGGUGUAGCAGUGAAAUGCGUAGAUAUCGGAAGGAACACCGGUGGCGAAAGCGGCGCGCUGGACCUCUUCUGACGCUGAGGCGCGAAAGCCAGGGGAGCAAACGGG